UACGUAGGGGGGCAAGCGUUGUCCGGAUUUAUUGGGCGUAAAGAGCGUGUAGGCGGCCAGGUAGGUCAGCUGUGAAAACUCGAGGCUCAACCUCGAGACGCCGGUUGAAACCAUCUGGCUAGAGUCCGGAAGAGGAGAGUGGAAUUCCUGGUGUAGCGGUGAAAUGACGCAGAUAUCAGGAAGAACACCCGUGGCUAAGGCGGCUCUCUAGUACGGUACUGACGCUGAGACGCGAAAGCGUGGGGAGCGAACAGG
RNAcentral lists this ribosomal RNA (255 nucleotides) under uncultured bacterium. RNAcentral describes it as "partial 16S ribosomal RNA". It matches the Rfam family "Bacterial small subunit ribosomal RNA", at positions 524 to 776 of the family's 1533-position model. The record is from RNAcentral.